This 14531-nucleotide long non-coding RNA is filed under the name Olea europaea subsp. europaea. The record is from RNAcentral. Lineage: Eukaryota; Viridiplantae; Streptophyta; Magnoliopsida; Lamiales; Oleaceae.
CUAAAAUUGUCGACAACCCCGCAAAUGGGAUGGCUUGUAAUGGAUCAAAUUGCUUAGAUCAUAUAAGAAUACAAUUCGGCGAAGAUAAAUGAUGAUCAUAGUCCGUUGGUGACUUUGGUGUAGAGGCACAUCAGCGGCGGGGUUACCACCAUUUAUGGUAUCAAAAUCAAGCUUCUAAUUUCAAAAGAUGGCGAUGGAGGUUCCUUGAUAAAUUCUCCGGCCGGAGGUAUUUGAAGGGUUUAGGCUCGAUCUUGAUACCAUCAAUGGUGGCGGCACUACCCUUCACGGGCUGCAUUACAUCGACACCCUAUCAUAAUAGUUAGCUCCAAAUUUAUCCAAUUCCUCAGGUUGCUAAUCCAAAUUAUUAAACCAGGUAAUCCUUUUUACAAUUUUCUGUGACUUUUAAUUUAGCAGGUAUGCAGGCUGGCAAAGCCACCAAAAUUAUAAAGUUAAUUUCACCAAUCGUCAUUAAGUUUGGUCAUUAAAGUAUUUUUCCUACUCUAUUAGUCACUGCAAUUUAAAAUUUUCACAAAUGAUCAUUCCAUUGAAAAAUUACUUGUAUAAUCGGCCAUACUGCUAUUAACUUUGACGUGUUGCACUAAACAUUAUAAUUACACCAAAAUUAAAAUAUAUUUUUAAUAAAUACAUCACAAUAAAUUUACAAUUAUACUCCUAAUUCAAUAAAAAUAAAAAAUUGAAAAAGAACAUAAUAUAAUAUUGUGAUGUACAUAUCACCCAUAUUAAUUCUCAUUUUCUCAAUCUUUCCCCUCAUUUAUUGCAUAGCAAUUUUGAAAACAGAAGAUCGGUGAAGAACACCAUGCAAUAAUAAAUAGAAUGUUUGUCAUAAAUAAUUAAUAUGUCCAAAAGGAUCCUUUGAAAUUGUCAGUAAUUUUUUUGUGUUAUCAUUUUUAAUCGAAAUAUGAAUUUUUAAUGUAUUCGCAAUUUCAAUUUUUAAUCUUGGAAGUCUAUUUUGGAAACACUUUUAAGUGGAAUUAAGAAAUUUUACCAACAACCACAUUAUAAUCUCAUGGAUAAAAAUGUUAUAAUAAUUCAUCGGACACAUAUAAAACCCAACUUGAGGAAGCAUUUAUGACAUGUGUUGAUAAACUGGACAUGUUUCAUAAUUGAAUUAACAGAUAUAGAUUUAAUAUUCGAUUUAUUCAUACUUGGUCAGCAGUAUCAUUUUCCUAACAUUUAGAACAAAUAAAUUGAAUUAUGAUAAAUUAUAAAAAAUUUAAAUCCUGUAAAAAAAUACAAUAUAACAAUAAAAACUCCUUGUUGAUUAAGAACAACUUUUGGAAAUUCAUAUGCCUCAUAGACAAAAAUCUACGAAAAUUGACGCACCUACAUAUACACAAAUUCAUUUACAGUUUAUCUAUAUACCAUGAGGGAACAGAUUAUCUUGUCGUCGUGGAAGAAGAAAAAAGUCGUCGGAGAAACUAUGAACAAUGAGAUGUUGCGGAAAAAGAACGAAAUAAAUUAGGUUUUAUAUUUGUUGUGUAACAAUAAUUUAUUAAUUAAAAAAUAUAUUAAAAUUCUAAUAAUGUAAUUUUAUUUAAGGAUAUUUUAGUAAAUAAGAAAAUUGUGAUACAUGUAGUAAAAUUUAUAGUAGUAAUAUAAUUACCUUUAAUGAGUGGUCAAUUUUUGGGAUCACUUUAAUAAAAUAUGAGCAAGAUUGAUUCCCGUGACCUAACUUUCACAUUUUUUCUCAAGUCACGGAUAGAAUUUGACCAUUUGAUGAAAGACAGAUUUGGAAUUUUACUUGUGUUAAUUGAUUUUAACAUCUUAUAAUUGACGACGACAAGUCAGGUCAUACAUUAUUGGGUAUUGCUGUUUGUACAAUCCAUGUUGUGAGUGGGGUUCGUGAUUAUUUUAAUCGUGAACCCUAUUUCUUGCAUGUGAGUGUAUUAUGAACCAUGAUAUGAAUAAUGUUGUACCCAUAGUCAGUGGCGAAUCCAGGACUUCGACUCAACUAGGGCGAUCGUUAUCUGUCAAUAGUUCACGAUCGUAUAGCGAUAUCAUUUAUUAAUAUUAAAUUAAAUAAUAUUAAAAAUUCUUCGAUCUAUAUGUUAAUAUAUUAAAGCGUAAAAAUGGUAUAUUUUAUAAUAUUAUAUUUUCAUACAAUCCGAAAUAAUAUAAAUUACAUAAUACAUAAGACUUCUUUGUGUUAUCAAUGUUUAACAAAUCGUUUGCUUGACUAAAAGUAGUUGAGAGAUUAGAUACACCACUACAAGAACUAGAUUAAAAUUCAGUUGAAAAAAUCAUUCCAUAAUUAGUAUGAGAAUUGAACGUUAAUCAAAGAUUAAACGUAAUUAAAAUUAAUUUUAAAAUAUAAUUAAAGUUUCAAUUUUCAAUUCUCAACACUCAUUUUUAAUUUUCAUGAAUCACAUAUUCACAUUUCACGAUACUCAAAUUAAUUUUUAAUAUCACAAUUCACAAUAGACAAAUUCUCAAAUAACAUAUAAAUUAAAACUCAAUACUCAUAAGUCAUAUCUUAUUAAUUAUUAAAGCAUAAAAUAUUUAAAACCAAAAUUUAAAAAAAAAAAAAACUUUUGUAAAGUCUUAACAUAUAUUAUUUUGUUAAAUUUCAAUUCAAAAUUCAACCAUUCCUAUGAUGAUUAAGCUUCCAAUCAUCCUAACUUUAGAAGUUAUAGGUUCAAAUCCUUUCUUUAGGGAAUUGAUUUUGGUAAAUAUUGUAGAAAUAAAAAUUUUACACAAUGAGAUGGAGGGGAAGGAAUCGAACCCAAGACUCACAAUAUAUAAAAAAAAAAACUCUAACCAAUUAAGCAAAAGAAAGAUUUGAAAAUAAAAUAAAUCAUUAAUUAUAUAACCUAAAUCUUUCAUUUAUUACCAACAAAAAAAAAUAAAAAUUCUUCUUGACGAAUCCAGCUAGGGCCGCCCUAGCUGGCCACAUACUAAAUCCGUUACUGCCCAUAGCAUGAUUCUACAUUAUUAUUNGAUUUUGACAAAGUUCGAUGACCAUUUAGGGACGAAGUGAAGUUCGGUGACCUCCUAGGAAAAAUUGGCAAAAUUCGGUGACCAUUGGGGGGAUUUCCUCUAAUAGACUAUUUCAAAGUGCCAAAACUUCCUUAGUCCUCGGGUAACAUUAUUGCCCCGCCCCAGAUGGUAAACAGGUAUGGUUCCUACCUCGAAUUUCUCGAAUCCACUCAGAGUCUUUUUAUAUUAAUUUUAAUUUAAAAUCAUAUUUUAUGAUAUUAAAAAUAACAUUUAAAAUAAAGGUAUAAUUAAACGGGAUUAUUAAAUAAGAAUUGUUUAAUCUCUACUUGUCCCGUCCUACCCUGUCCUGAAACGUGGAAUUCUUUCCACACUUCAAGAGUGAUCUAUCAGCCAAUUAGCGAUCAGCCGUAGCAAGUGCCUCUUUUGAGGGGUCAUCCAACUGCAUCCUCAACAUAAUGUCUACAUCUCAAAUGCUCCUAGAGGAAGGAUGAUAGUAACGACAUUGGCGAAUAAGAUGAUCUGCUUCGAGAGGUUGCCGGUGGUCCGUGUCACUUCAUUCCCUGAAAUGGAAAAGAAUGUCCCACUGGUCAGAUCUCAUAUAUUUUUAUUUCAAGUUUCUUUGAUAUGGACUAAUUGUAUUUCUUUGUUCAUAUUGCCUUUCGUCAAUGUGAAUGAUGUUUUAUGAUUGAAAUUUAAUAAUAAUAAUAAUAAUAAUAAUAAUAAUAAUAACUGCCAAAACUCCCUUAGUCCGCUGUUGCAUCAUUAAUGCAACUAAUUGUAUAGUUAUAAUUGAAUAAUUUGAAUUAUAUAUAAAAAUUUGACUUCUAAGACUCAAUGAUGUAGCGCAAUAAAAAGUGAAGAACAAUAUCGAACCACUUCCCAGGGCCGGUCCUGUGGCGAGGCCCAUGAGGCCAGCGCCUCAGGCCCAAAACCACUGGGGGCCUAUUUUUGGACUUAUUAUUAUUAUUAUUAUUUUGGAAUUGUAGUAAGGAAAAUCAGUGUGCGUUUUUUCUCAUCUUCCUUCUUUUCAUUUUGUGGUUAUCGCUUUCUGCUCCUUCUCCAAUUCGUUCUUCUCCUCCUCAUUCCUCAACCCGUCAAUCGGUGGUGGAAACCGUGGGUCACCAGAAUUCUCCACCAUAGCCCCCUCCGCAGGCGACGGUUCCAAGCUCCUCAACCACACGUGACACUCGGUCGACGGUCUCUCCCUACAAUUUGUCCCACUCCCAUAAAUUUAGAUUUGCUGUUUCAAAAGUACAAUUUCACCUUUCUUUAAUUUGGGUUUUUUUCUCAUCUUAUCUUGUUCGAAAAUUUUUGAGAAUUAGGGUUUGAUUAACACAGCUGACUGGAGGCAACAGUGAUGAUAUGAUCCCUAAAAGUUUUGAUUUAUAAAUGACCAAAAUUAGUGAAUAAUAUUAAAAACAAAAUCAUGAAAAAAUAAACCAGUAGAAGAGAAUAUAAAAAGAAUUUGAUUCGCUUUUUCAUCAAUAUACAGUGGCAAUCAUCUAUUUUAUUCUGUUGCUGUCUAAUUGAAGUAUAAUUUUAUCCUUGCUGAUGUUCUUCUAUUUAUAGGCAGCAGGCUGCUGCAGCUUGCGGGAUUAAAUGCAAAUGGCAAGAAAAUCGUCGCACGAGCAAAAUUUGAAGUAACUAACUAUAAGAGGUUUAGUUUAUUGCUAUCUUGCAUACUGCUCUGUAUCUGUCUUCUAAUUUUUUUCUAGUAGAAUUAAUAUGUUGUAACUUACUGAGCGAAGAGACUGAAAGCAUUGCGUAGUCUCUCUUUCCCUCCUUGACCUCCCAAAAAGCACCCACUCAUUUGUCUAAGACUGGUUCUGGAGACUGAAGCAUGAUUAUGCAUAUGUUACCGUUAUGUAUAUAUCAUCUUAAAGGAGAAAUAUGACCCUUGUACUCCAUAACCAAAGUAAAAAAUUAGAUUUUCCUGACUUAAGCCUCUAUAUUGCUGUAGGACUACCGUGGUCAAUGAUUUUUUAUUAUAAAGGACACAAAUUUGAUCAUAUGGAGUUGAAGAAUAGGAAAUUAAGAUUAUUUGUCUUCACUAGGGAUUGGAAUAUGAGAAACAUUGAUUUAAAGUUUUAUAAUAUUCAAGAUAGCUAACAAAUGGAGGAUGCAUGCUGAAAACUUUAUUGUUAAUAAAGAGAUUAUACAAUUAUUCUAGCGUAUAUAUGUUGAAGAAGACUGCAUCAUUUAAGAGCAAUUUAUCCACUUGUAUGGAAACAUUCAAUUUUAGAAAAGACCUUCAACUAGUGAAAACAAAGGUGUGAUUCUAUAAUUUUCAUUGAAAUUUUACUUCUUAGGUAAGCAAUGGCUUGUCCUAACUUGUCAACUCAUAGAAUUGCGGCCUGAUCGAUUUAUAUAAUUGGUUAUUGUAGGAGCAAUAGCACAGAUGCACAUAGUAACUAUAUUGAAAACUCUAAUGUAUUCAUAUUGCACAUGGCAGAAUAGACUGUCUAUGUUAUCAAUAGGGAAAGAAAUUGUUGAGCAGCUAAAUUAUUUAGAUUUGAUUAAUGUAUUUACUUCUAAAACAACAAGGCGAAUAGUAUUUAGCUAAUUGUUUAAAAUGUUGUUGGUUUUGUUAUUUUAUAAUAUAAAUCUUUUGUAUAAUAUAUUUGUUUUUAAUAUUAAGUUUUAAGUUAGCAAUACGUUUCAUAAUACACCGUUGCAUUUAAGUUGAUUUUGGGGGCCUCAUUUAUGGACUUCGCCUCAAGCCCUGACAAUCACAAGACCAACCUUUUGAGCUCAUACUACUUGUUGGAAAUUAUAGUUGUUUAGACCCAAAUGCGAAUUGGAAUAACUAAAAGCAACAAGUCACUUAUUAAUUGGUUUCUUAACGAUUAAGGUAAUUAAUCCAAUUUAAUUAAUCAUAUAUGUAAAUGAAAUAAAAUAAAUAGAGAACAAAAGUAAUAAAGAGCAUCAAACAUGAUUAACAGGGAGAAUCACGUCCCUGCUUUUUAAGAUUUUUGUAGAAAACAUCGCUACCUUCCAUUUUUUGGCAAAUUUCAUCCUCAUCUUUAACUUUUAUUGUGGGAAACAUCAUUCCGUCCACUUACCGUUAAAAUGCUCCGUUAAAUCAAUUAAAAUAGAAUUUUUCUUUUCAAAAGGCAAGAGUAACAUUGUCCAAACCUAUUUUUCUUUGCUUUCCUAGAUUUCACUGCAAUUUAUCAAUAAAAUUCAAAUCAUAUUUUGUAAUGAUUCUGUAAAUACAAAACAUAUUUUUCGCAUAAUUCCUUUGCUUUCCCGGAUUUCAUUGCAAAGGAAUAAAAGGAAAUAUUGUUCAUUAAAUGUAACAUUUGAUAUAAUGAAGUGCUUACAAAAGAGAAGCAAUUAUGGGGGAAGAUAAAAGAAAAAGAGACUGCUAAUUACAAUGGCUUAUUUAUAAUUACUUAUUUUUGCCUUUUCUUCUUGUAGAUACAAGAUGUUUGGGAUUUGGAGUUUGUAAGAAUAAUGUAGAAAUAUAUCAUUUGAAUUUUGUAUUAUACUGUGCUUAAAUGUGUGGUUGUUUAUCCUCAUUUUGUGCUUACGAAGGAGGUAAAUAAAAGGUAAAGUGAGAAGACCAAUUAAAAUGUAAUUUUGUGAAUGGAUACAGAUGGAGAAGAUGAACAGAAAUAGUCUAACCCUAAUAAGUAGAAAAAAAUCAUAACAUCGUUUAAUAAGAAAAAUUGACAACAAUGAUUAUAAUCAUCAAUAAAAGACAUAUAAUAUCUAUCCCCUACUUUUGUAACAAUGGAAAUAGUCCCCGUACAAUAAAGUAAACGAAAUCAAAUGAUGCAACAGAACGAGAAACACUUCAAGAAAAAGGUAAAGCGGAACAUUUAGCUAGUUUGCAACCACUACAAUCAGAAAUAUCAUAAGUUUACAAAUCUCUCAAUUGACCUUUAGAAAUUAAAAAUUUUAAACGACUAGCAGAAAUAUAUUAAAAGUGAGAAUGCAACAAACAAAAAUUAGAAGAAGAGGAAUUCAAAGAAAAACAUGACAAAUCAACACCAAAAGCUGCAACGUAUGGUAGUCUCAUACGAUCCAAAACAUAUAAUCUUCAUUUAUGGCUUGUUCCAAUCAACUUCUGAGAUUGAAAAUCCAGCAUAUGACAAGCAGUAUGUUAAAAUUUAGGGGUCAUUUUUAAAAUAUCAACCUUAUUAAGAGAAGUAUAGCCAAACUCUUAUAAGUUGUUCUUUAUUUUUAUCUUUAAUUGAUGUUUUAUCCCCUAACAUAUUGAUCUUGCUUCGUAAUAAAUCGUGAACUAAUUGUAUAUAGAGUCAAAUUUUAACGAGACAGUUACACCAUCCGAGUAGAAAAACAAAAGAAGUUAAUAAAACGGACUACUCAACAGAGUUGUGAAUCCAAGUAAGAACUUUCGCAUUGUUUGACCUGCAAUAUCUAACUCCAUCACAUAAUUAUCAUAAGUGCUCUUGGGUUUCACAAUAGUUCCGCUAACGGAACCCCACAAUCUUUUUUCCUUAAGAAAAUUCCUUAUUACGAUACUCUAAUAUGAGUAAUUUUUACCAUUUAAUCUGACUCUAAUGGAUCGAAGCGAAUAAUCUCUUUCAGUUGCCAUUUGAAAUAAAGAAGCAACAAUUGAAUACAACCGAACAGCAAUAUUUAUCAAUUAAAACCCAACAGCCAACUGUGAUCAUCAAACUAGCCCAAAAUAAUAAAUAGUAGCCCAAAACAUUUAUCGCCAAGCCAAAGAGCAGCUCAAAAUAGUUUGAACAAAAUUGUUUAAAAUAAACUCAAAACGUAAGCCCAAAUAUUAAGCCCAAAACCUUUGAAUCCAAUGAAAUUUACCUGCCCAAAUGAUCUCAAUUAAGUUUGCAGUUCAACCACCAAAAGAAGAUGCUUUAAAACAAAGGAUGACUCACAAUUCCAAUAAACAAAGGACACCAAAAUCUACAAAAGAGGAAGCCAGAAUCUGCUAAAGAAGUACUCCUAAAUCUACCAAUUAAAACUUCAAGGCCAGCGACUAGAGUAAUUUUGACCUGCACAAAAUGUUACCAUCUGUCGAGAAUCAAUCCAAGACUAAAAGAGGAUGCAAAAAUUGAAGAAACCCAGAAAGUGAGUUUCUUAAACCCAAUGAGGAACCCGCGAAAUUCAAAACGAGUUAUGUUUGUAGCUUUGAUACCAUGUGAAUAAUACAAAUCAGUUUGAUAUAUCAAACCAAGGGGAAGAAUUAAGAGAUGGAGGAAGAAAACCGAUUGUAAGAGCCUCCAAAAGCUUAGGGUAAACAAUGGACCAAAUUAGUUUAUAUAUUAUAAGAAAACCUACAAAAUUAGGAAACUAAAACAAUAAGGAAGCUAAAUAUAAUAUUAUUUUAUAUUAUUAUGCUAUCAGUUUGCUAUUUUAGGGCUUUAAUUGAAUGAUGAACUUGCACUUGCUUAUCAUAGUGACAACUAUCAUCUACUCAGGCACCAAACAUGAUCUAUAUUGCGAACCGUAUUCAAAACUUAGAUUGGUUCUAACACAAACAAAAGCAUGAUGAAUCACAAACACAACAAUAUUCAUGGAUCAAUAACCCUGCAGAUUAUCGACUCAAAAUCAAGAAUUGGAGAAAAUUUCUCUCAAUUGUACAAGUUUUAAUCAAAAUCUAGCCAAUCAUAAAAGCGCUUACAAAAAAGGUGAAUACUAAACGAAAUAAUAAAAUCCUGCAAUAAGUCAAAUUCAAAUCAACUCAUAUUCGUAAAACUAAAAAUAACUAAAGAAAAAAGUUUAUGGGCACUUCAUUCCCCUCAUAAGACGUCAAGCGACAUGAUCCACAUGUUUGAAAAUAAUUAGCUACAGAAAUUUGCAGAACAAUAUACAGAAAUAGAACUUAUCGACUAAUUGAACCUCGUGAUAGCAAGAUGUCUUAAAGUGAAAUUGUCCGUCGAUAAUUAUUGCGACCUUUAUGGACAAUCACUUUUAGAAUACAACGAUCAUAAACCACUUGUACAGUAAUCACGAACGAUUUCUCAGAACUCUCAAGUGUACUCCAGAAAAAUAUGUAAAACUUGAGUAAAAAAAUUCUGAAUAUGAAAAAUUAUAAUUUCAUUUUUUGGUUUUUUUUUUUUUUUUGUAAACAGAUGGGGGUAUAUAUUGGCAGAACUGCCUCCACAAUGAUCUAGAAUAUUGGCAACCUUUACUUGCUUGUGGGUUAAAAAAUGUCAUACUAUACUAACUAAUUUAACCCAUUAAAUAAUUUCAAAAAUAAAAUAAAAAAUAAUUAUUUUAAUUAAAGAAGCCCAACAGCCCAAAAAGACUUUUUUUAUUAUUGCGUGGGAUGUGAUUCAAAUCCUCGACCUUCCACACAAAUUCCAUAUUUUUCACCACUUGAGCACUUCAUCUAAACUAAUUAUUUUUUUCAUAUAUUAUAUUUAUUGUAUAAAUGCCAAACACCAAAACCAACUCCCUAAUUACCUCUAUAAUAUCCAAAAUAAUCAAACUGACCACCAAUGUGCAAAUCGCCUUAAGAGCAUCAUGUUCAGCAACAUCAGUUUCCAUGAGUACUCUUGCUUCAGCAUAGACUUGAGAAAAACAAUAUAGUGAUAAAAUGACCAAGGAUUUACAAUGUUUAAAGUGAAAUAAUUAAUAUUACUCAUUUUCAAGACCGGAUUCUUUAAGCUAAAAACAUAUCUAACUUCGAACUUUUUUUUGUUAAGAUUUAUCACUUUUGAUCAAUCUUUUCACCACAAUGCACUAGUUUAAUUUCAGUAAAACUUCCUUCAUACCCUCUUAUGGAUAUCACAAAUUCUACCCUUGAUUCGUAGUCUUGUCAUUAUUUAUCACAUCACUGAAACAGAAAAACUUAAGAUGCUUGGUGAAUAAUGACAAAGUCCUUUCAUUUUCAAGAGAGCUAGGAUCAAAAUAUAAAGAGACUUUAGAAUUGCCAUGCUCUCCACAGCUCCAUAUCCUAGUUUUAGUCAAUUUGUUUCAGCCUUGCAAAAUUUUGAGGAGGUUUAUCAAAGGAUGAGAAGUAGGAGCUUCACACCCAAGCAUUCUUUGGUUGACGUUGAAUUUGAUGCGAAGAGGACAAAGAGGAGAUCACUUGAUACAUGCAGUUAAAACUAAAGUUCGAUCACUUGAAAAAUUGAUAAGAUUUUAGUAAAAUUUUACCAAACAAAUACUUAAUAUGCAUGCUACAAUAGUUAUUUAGCAGUGUUAGAAAAAUUACUUGAUGUAAUGAAUACACAUUAGGAAGUGGCAAGGCCGGUCCUAUGAUUGUCAGGGCUUGAGGCGAAGUCCAUAAAUAAGGCCCCCAAAAUCAACUUAAAUGCAGCGGUGUAUUAUGAAACGUAUUGCUAACUUAAAACUUAAUAUUAAAAACAAAUAUAUUAUACAAAAGAUUUAUAUUAUAAAAUAACAAAACCAACAACAUUUUAAACAAUUAGCUAAAUACUAUUCGCCUUGUUGUUUUAGAAGUAAAUACAUUAAUCAAAUCUGAAUAAUUUAGCUGCUCAACAAUUUCUUUCCCUGUUAAUAACAUAGACAGUCUAUUCUGCCAUGUGCAAUAUGAAUACAUUAGAGUUUUUAAUAUAGUUACUAUGUGCAUCUGUGCUAUUGCUCCUACAAUAACCAAUUAUAUAAAUCGAUCAGGCCGCAAUUCUAUGAGUUGACAAGUUAGGACAAGCCAUUGCUUACUUAAGAAGUAAAAUUUCAAUGAAGACCUUUGUUUUCACUAGUCGAAGGUCUUUUCUAAAAUUGAAUGUUUCCAUACAAGUGGAUAAAUUGCUCUUAUAUUAUGCAGUCUUCUUCAACAUAUAUACGCUAGAAUACUUGUAUGGUCUCUUUCUUAACAAUAAAGUUUUCAGCAUGCAUCCUCCAUUUGUCAGCUAUCUUGAAUAUUAUAAAACUUUAAAUCAAUGUUUCUCAUAUUACAGUCCCUAGUGAAGACAAAUAGAUCUUAAUUUCCUAUUCUUCAACUCCAUAUGAUCAAAUUUGUGUCCUCUAUAAUAAAAAAUCAUUGACCACGGUAGUCCUACAGCAAUAUAGAGGCUUAAGUCAGGAAAAUCUAAUUUUUUACUUUGGUUAUGGAGUACAAGGGUCAUAUUUCUCCUUUAAGAUGAUAUAUACAUAACGGUAACAUAUGCAUAAUCAUGCUUCAGUCUCCAGAACCAGUCUUAGACAAAUGAGUGGGUGCUUUUUGGGAGGUCAAGGAGGGAAAGAGAGACUACGCAAUGCUUUCAGUCUCUUCGCUCAGUAAGUUACAACAUAUUAAUUCUACUAGAAAAAAAUUAGAAGACAGAUACAGAGCAGUAUGCAAGAUAGCAAUAAACUAAACCUCUUAUAGUUAGUUACUUCAAAUUUUGCUCGUGCGACGAUUUUCUUGCCAUUUGCAUUUAAUCCCGCAAGCUGUAGCAGCCUGCUGCCUAUAAAUAGAAGAACAUCAGCAAGGAUAAAAUUAUACUUCAAUUAGACAGCAACAGAAUAAAAUAGAUGAUUGCCACUGUAUAUUGAUGAAAAAGCGAAUCAAAUUCUUUUUAUAUUCUCUUCUACUGGUUUAUUUUUUCAUGAUUUUGUUUUUAAUAUUAUUCACUAAUUUUGGUCAUUUAUAAAUCAAAACUUUUAGGGAUCAUAUCAUCACUGUUGCCUCCAGUCAGCUGUGUUAAUCAAACCCUAAUUCUCAAAAAUUUUCGAACAAGAUAAGAUGAGAAAAAAACCCAAAUUAAAGAAAGGUGAAAUUGUACUUUUGAAACAGCAAAUCUAAAUUUAUGGGAGUGGGACAAAUUGUAGGGAGAGACCGUCGACCGAGUGUCACGUGUGGUUGAGGAGCUUGGAACCGUCGCCUGCGGAGGGGGCUAUGGUGGAGAAUUCUGGUGACCCACGGUUUCCACCACCGAUUGACGGGUUGAGGAAUGAGGAGGAGAAGAACGAAUUGGAGAAGGAGCAGAAAGCGAUAACCACAAAAUGAAAAGAAGGAAGAUGAGAAAAAACGCACACUGAUUUUCCUUACUACAAUUCCAAAAUAAUAAUAAUAAUAAUAAGUCCAAAAAUAGGCCCCCAGUGGUUUUGGGCCUGAGGCGCUGGCCUCAUGGGCCUCGCCACAGGACCGGCCCUGGGAAGUGGUUCGAUAUUGUUCUUCACUUUUUAUUGCGCUACAUCAUUGAGUCUUAGAAGUCAAAUUUUUAUAUAUAAUUCAAAUUAUUCAAUUAUAACUAUACAAUUAGUUGCAUUAAUGAUGCAACAGCGGACUAAGGGAGUUUUGGCAGUUAUUAUUAUUAUUAUUAUUAUUAUUAUUAUUAUUAAAUUUCAAUCAUAAAACAUCAUUCACAUUGACGAAAGGCAAUAUGAACAAAGAAAUACAAUUAGUCCAUAUCAAAGAAACUUGAAAUAAAAAUAUAUGAGAUCUGACCAGUGGGACAUUCUUUUCCAUUUCAGGGAAUGAAGUGACACGGACCACCGGCAACCUCUCGAAGCAGAUCAUCUUAUUCGCCAAUGUCGUUACUAUCAUCCUUCCUCUAGGAGCAUUUGAGAUGUAGACAUUAUGUUGAGGAUGCAGUUGGAUGACCCCUCAAAAGAGGCACUUGCUACGGCUGAUCGCUAAUUGGCUGAUAGAUCACUCUUGAAGUGUGGAAAGAAUUCCACGUUUCAGGACAGGGUAGGACGGGACAAGUAGAGAUUAAACAAUUCUUAUUUAAUAAUCCCGUUUAAUUAUACCUUUAUUUUAAAUGUUAUUUUUAAUAUCAUAAAAUAUGAUUUUAAAUUAAAAUUAAUAUAAAAAGACUCUGAGUGGAUUCGAGAAAUUCGAGGUAGGAACCAUACCUGUUUACCAUCUGGGGCGGGGCAAUAAUGUUACCCGAGGACUAAGGAAGUUUUGGCACUUUGAAAUAGUCUAUUAGAGGAAAUCCCCCCAAUGGUCACCGAAUUUUGCCAAUUUUUCCUAGGAGGUCACCGAACUUCACUUCGUCCCUAAAUGGUCAUCGAACUUUGUCAAAAUCUCCUAUGAGGUCACAGAACUUAACUUCGUCCCUAAAUGGUCACUGAACUUUGCCGAAAUUUUUGAAGAGGUCACUCAACUUUUGCAAAAUGGGAUCCAUGUAUAACAAGUUCAGUGACCUCUCAGGGGCCUUUUGCAAAGUUCGGUGACCGUUUAGAGACGAAGUGAAGUUCGGUGACCUCUUAGGAGAUUUUGGCAAAGUUCGGUGAUCAUUUAGGGACGAAGUGAAGUUCGAUGACCUUCUAAGGGAUUUGCAAAGUUCGGUGACCAUUGGGGGGAUUUCCUCUAGUCUAUUAUGUUAUUUUUCUAUACUUAUAUUAAUUUUAAAAUUGGAGCUGAUGUUAUAGAAUAUAGGGACCUGAAAUUUCAUUUAGGUUAGUGAUUGGGUAGUUUUUAGAGGUUGACUCUUAUUAUUUUUUAUUUUUUUAGAAUUAAUUGUUUGUAUUUUCUCCAGUUACUUUAUUUAAAAUAGUAUCCGUGCUCGCUAGUCGUAUCAAUUCUACAUACAAUCAACAAGAACAUAAAUAUAAAUCAAUUUUUAGUAUUCAGUUGCAUUGAUAAGUAUUGAUCUGUCGAUUCAUUGUACACCUUUUAAACAACGAGUUUUGAUCCUUGUUCGCCAUGUUUCGCUCUUUGGGAUGCAAUAGUUAGUUAAUUAAUAAAGUCAAUAAACAUUUGAGAAAUUUUCAGUGAUAGAAAUUUCUUCUUAUAGUUAAUCUCGUAUGAAUAAUGUUAUUUACAAUCGCUUAGUAUCGUAGUAGUCAUAUGUAACAUACAUAUAGCGAUUAAUAAUUUGAAAUAUUAAUGUAGAAAUUUUUUAUUUCCUAAUGUAUUAAGUCAUUAAUUAUCAUAUGUAUAUCACGUAAGGCGACUAAGAUAGUGAGUAAUUGUAAAUAACAUUAUUAUAUGUUAAAAUCUGUACUGCUAUUUUAGUUUUGUAGUACGAAGUACAUAAUAGCUCAAUCAACCCAAACUCCAACCACUCUUCUUCUUCUUCUUCUUCUUUUAUUUUUAAUUUUUUAAUUUUUUAUCUUUUAUAGUCUAAACAAAACAUUGUACUGUUGAAUGGAACAUGUAUUGCUUCAGUACUACAAUGUACCAAACUUGGCUUGGGGAAAGUCAAUAAUUCAACCCCCAUAUAUUAAUUUUAUCAAAGUGCCAAACCAAUAGGAUUCGGACAACAACUUUUUAUAUAAAUAGAAAGGAUUCCAAGAACUAGACUCGUCAAUUUUGAAUCCCUAAAAUUGUCGACAACCCCGUAAAUGGGAUGGCUUGUACUGGAUCAAAUUGCUUAGAUCAUAUAAGAAUACAAUUCGACGAAGAUAAAUGAUGAUCAUAGUCCAUUGGUGACUUUGGUGUAGAGGCACAUCAGCGGCGUGGCUACCACCAUUUAUGGUAUCAAAAUCAAGCUUCUAAUUUCAAAAGAUGGCCAUGGAGGUUCCUUGAUAAAUUCUCUGGCCGGAGGUAUUUGAAGGGUUUAGGCUCAAUCUUGAUACCAUCAAUGGUGGCGGCACUGCCCUUCACGGGCUGCAUUACAUCGACACCCUAUCAUUAUAGUUAGCUCCAAAUUUAUCCAAUUCCUCAGGUUGCUAAUCCAAAUUAUUAAACCAGGUAAUCCUUUUUACAAUUUUCUGUGAUUUUUAAUUUAGCAGGUAUG